RNAcentral lists this ribosomal RNA (278 nucleotides) under uncultured soil bacterium. Its description in RNAcentral is "partial 16S ribosomal RNA". It matches the Rfam family "Bacterial small subunit ribosomal RNA", at positions 26 to 285 of the family's 1533-position model. The record is from RNAcentral.
AGAAUCAACGCUGGCGGCGUGCCUCAGACAUGCAAGUCGAACGCGAAAGUUUCCUUCGGGAAGCGAGUAGAGUGGCGCACGGGUGAGUAACACGUAGGUAAUCUACCUUUGGGUGGGGAAUAACAGCCGGAAACGGCUGCUAAUACCGCAUAAUGCAGCGGCUCGACAUCGAGACAGUUGUUAAAGCGGGGGCUUCGCAAGAACCUCGCGCCUAAAGAGGAGCCUGCGGCGGAUUAGCUAGUUGGUGAGGUAAUGGCUCACCAAGGCAUCGAUCCGUA